Molecule: ribosomal RNA, 491 nt
Filed under: uncultured bacterium
Lineage: Bacteria
Description: bacterial SSU rRNA
Rfam family: Bacterial small subunit ribosomal RNA
Source: RNAcentral
UAGUCCACGCCCUAAACUAUGCUCACUCGAUAUUAGCGAUAUACAGUUAGUGUCCAAGAGAAAUCGUUAAGUGAGCCACCUGGGAAGUACGUUCGCAAGAAUGAAACUCAAAGGAAUUGACGGGGGUCCGCACAAGCGGAGGAGCAUGUGGUUUAAUUCGAUGAUACGCGAGGAACCUUACCAGGGCUUAAAUGUAGGUUGCAUUAGCUAGAGAUAGCUAUUUCUUCGAACUACUUACAAGGUGCUGCAUGGUUGUCGUCAGCUCGUGCCGUGAGGUGUCAGGUUAAGUCCUAUAACGAGCGCAACCCCUGUCGUUAGUUGCCAGCAAGUAAAGUUGGGGACUCUAGCGAGACUGCCGGUGCAAACCGAGAGGAAGGUGGGGAUGACGUCAAAUCAUCACGGCCCUACGUCCUGGGCUACACACGUGCUACAAUGGUAUGGACAGAGAGCAGCCACUGCGUGAGCAGGAGCGAAUCUACAAACCAUAUCAC